Molecule: long non-coding RNA, 467 nt
Organism: Polypterus senegalus (gray bichir)
Lineage: Eukaryota; Metazoa; Chordata; Cladistia; Polypteriformes; Polypteridae
Exons: 3
Source: RefSeq, a predicted model, not a curated record
UCAGAGUUGCUGCGCUCAAGUGGCACUGACAUAAAAGCUCGCUGAGUAACUAAAGUUAAGUACUCUUCAUCAGUGAAGAACAUCAAGUUUUGAACAGUGUCGGAGGAGCAAACGAGGCGCUACCUGAAAUGGCAAGAAGUGUGUUUAUUUCGGUCCAGAAGCACAUCGAAAAGAAGAAAGGAGUUUAUUCUAGCCGAAUUUAUAAAGCUGUGAAGCAAGGUUCUGGCAUCACCGGCAUUCUGGCGAAAACUACAAGCCAUUCGGGCAAUGACUACCUGCGCCUUGUAGCCUCUGAAGCCGCCCGUUUGGCCUUGGGGAACAAACGAAGAGCCAUUACGUGUCGGGAAAUACAGCGCGCUGCUCGAACCCUGGCACUUAAGGACGCCAAGUUGGAUUCUGCAAUUUAAAUUUUAAAUUUUGUGUGUGUGGUUUGUGUCCAUAUUUAAAUAAAGCUUUUUAUUUACUUA